UUGAGUUGCAACUUUCAUGCUUUAGACUUUCUCAAAAACAGACAUUGUCGCGUGUAACCACCAGAUAGUUCAUUCCUUCCAUGCACGGAAUGCCUUCUGUACCGCUUCAAAAUCUCCGAUUCUGUUAAAUGGCCUUCCCUUCUUCUAAUCAACCAAAACAGUAAUGUUUCGUGGAAGAUGACCAAAACAAAAACAUUGCUUGCGAACUAAUAUGAUGCAAAUUUACCGAAUUGAUGCUGAUCUUAUUUCCCGUUUUUCAUAACUGAUCGAUGUUUCAUUGGAGGGUGAUUGGUAAUUGGUAUGGCGGAUGUCGAUAUCAGAAUUGUAGUGCAGAUUAAACCGGUUUUAAAAAACUAUCUGCAAAUUUGUGAUGAAGAAUUUGUCACUAAAAGGCAUAUUUCCCUGGUCUGUUUUGUUCUUCGCUCACAAGCUACAAUCCCUUACAACGACAGACUAUUGCUUUAUGUGUUCGAGUAUUGAGUAUUGGUUAUUCUACUUUUAACGGAAAGAGACGGACCGACGACAGAAACAUCUACAUUCGUUCACAUCAACUUCGCACUCUCUCUAACUUAAUUUGCUCUCCAUGGACGAUACUAUUUGAUCUUGACCUUCUACACUACCUAUUAUCACUAUCAACCGACGCGGACAAGCUGAGAAUGCGGUUUGCUUCGAGUGAAUACGCGUGAUGCCGUAUUCGAAUUUUGGAACGUGCUUUUGGACUUCGUUAAAUCCGUUGCAGCAACUUCAUUGACCUGGGCAUUUCUACCACGGGCCACACUGUCUUUGGAUAGAGAUCUUACUCCGGCACCGGUCAUGGCGUUCUUAUAAUCAAACCGGAGAUUACGCCAGAUGAUAUUGAACUUCCUGCGGUCCGAGAUUGAACGAGUCAUCGAAUGGAAAAUUUUCAUCAUAUCGUGAAGAUAAUCAGUAAAUUUUUCCCCCCUAGACUGCCGUCUCUCAGUUGCUUGUACUUCCAGCUGAAAGUCCAAAUCGGGUGGCAAAAAUUCCCGUUUUAAUUCUUUUUUCAGCUCAUGCCAAUUCCGAAAAUCCCUAUUCUCGGUUCCCUCAAUGAACCAGUCUUUUGCGCGCCCCGCAAAAAGAUGAAUGGCACUCCUGUAUAGCUCUUUCUCUGUGAUGUCCUCAGAGAUGCAUCUCAUUUUAACUUCCUUUAGGAACUCAGUUAGCUUUCUUCCCUGAUCUUUUCCAUCAUACUUUAAUCUCCAUUCAGCUACCGGAAUUCUCUUCAAUUCCCUCUUUCUUCUACCUUCUCUCCUCCCUCUCUCCCUUUUAUGUCCUACAUUGGACUCUAAGCUACUAUCCGAACUAGAGUGAUCGGAGCUUUCGGUUACUGAUGUAACCUCAGAUGCAGAUGAGAAGCUUUGUCUGCGAUGUCUUUUUUUCGACUCUCUUUUGAACGACUUUUUCCCUAUUUUCGAUGGAGCUUUAUCCUUUUUAGAUUUCAAUUUCGAUCUUCCUAUGUCAGUACUAUUAUCGGAGCUAUCUCCCUUUGAGUCUAGCUUUAAACUAUUCAAAUUGAAAUCAAAGCCUA
This is a long non-coding RNA of Armigeres subalbatus, 1549 nucleotides long. RefSeq lists it as uncharacterized. NCBI's taxonomy places the organism in Eukaryota, Metazoa, Arthropoda, Insecta, Diptera, Culicidae. The transcript is spliced from 3 exons. The record is from RefSeq and is a predicted model, not a curated record.